Molecule: long non-coding RNA, 2196 nt
Organism: Vicia villosa (hairy vetch)
Lineage: Eukaryota; Viridiplantae; Streptophyta; Magnoliopsida; Fabales; Fabaceae
Exons: 3
Source: RefSeq, a predicted model, not a curated record
ACUAAAAUUUUAAAAAACUUGUGCCUCACAAUUCAGAGAGUUAACCCUUGCGCUUCAAACAUGACUCUCGCUUGAGAAAAACCUAGGAACUUGCUUAAAACCCUUUUCCCCUCAAUCCUGGGUAUUCACUAUUCACGAUAAGUGUUUCACGAUUCCACCUCCUCUCUUAAUAUUUCUGCCAAUCAAUCAAAAUUGGGAAGUCCUCUUAGAAAAAAGUUUAGAAUAAAAAACCCUCUCAGAAACUUGUUUUGAAUCACAAACGUGUUCAUAAGCCCUCUCUUUUAGGGUUCAAUCUUUCUCUGAAUCGGAAUCGCUAAUCAAUGUCACCUUUGAUUUAGAAUCGCAUUCAUCAUCUCUCCAUUUGUUGAAUCUUAUAAUCGGUGUUCCCUCUUUGUUUUAAUGCAUUUCACGGCGUCGUGUUAAUGAAAUAAACCGUCGACGGCCGAGAUCCUUAUGAUAAUGAGAAUUUAGCCACGAAUCUGCCUCUUUGGCGAGCAGUCCUGAGAUGUGUUUACAUGUUCAGGAGUUUAAAUUGAGGUAUUUUUUUCUUCAGAGUCAUGUCAAAAUGUGGAUGUUGGCUUAGAGUUCUGGGUUGGGGUAAGUGUUGUGGUCUAGCUUCUUGUGUUGCUCUGCUACCCAUUAUUUGAACCAGUACAAGACAGUUUUGUUCUGGCCUCCUCAGGUUCUUCAGUUACAACUUGCUUCUCAACUUCAGUUUAGUUUUUGCUUUCGAUUUGGGUAGUUUUCUGGUUUUUGCCUUUGGUUCGACUUUUCCUGGUUAGUUGACUGUUGCACGAGUUUUGAUUUACAUCAUCGGUAACCACUCUCGUGCUUCUGAGGGGCUAACAACUUUUCUAGUUUAGGAAGAUAGUAAUAGCCAUUUUAUUUGAUUUUGGUCACAUGGUUUCUUUUGGUUAGAGAUGACUUUGUGAUAUUCCUAGAGCAGUGUGAUCCUUAGGUCUGUGUUGCAAAUAUGUUCCUUUGUUGCAACUAUGUGGUACACAAUCAAUCCAAUGCAUAGGUUAGAAAAGAUGUAGGUUCUGCUCUAGUAGAACCAGGCAGUCCUAUUUUUAAAUCUGUGAUUACAUUAAUCAUUUCUAUACCAUAAAGGUUGGAUCUUCACCUUAAAAAUUAGUACAAUAAAGAGGUCACUAUACCUUCUUUAAACUUGAUUUUGUUUCGGCUGUCCAUAUAGUGUGAUUGAAGUUGUUAAGAUAAUGUCAUAUUUUAAUGUUUCUCAUUCUACUAAUUAUUAUGAUUAAUUUUGUUUUUUAUGGGCAUGUAAGUUUUAAUUAGGAGAUAAUAAAGAAACAUGUUGGAUACUAAACUCUCAUGCGUGAAGGAGAAAACAAUGCUAAACUUUGUUCUGUCAAGGAUAGGUUGGCGUAGCUACUGGAGAGCUUUGUAUAACUCAACCGAAGAACUUGUGUAUUAUGCUGAUGCAGGAAACUGCAAAAGCAGUGCAUGUCAUUUGUUUUUGAUGAGUGCCAAGCCAAAUAUUUGCAACUACAAAAGCUAGAGUUUUAGAUCAGAUGUUUGUGGAGUUGUUUUGUAUUCCAGCUUGAAGCAUUUGCCCUUAAUGUUUUCAUAUUUGGAGAGGUAAUUAACAGACAUAUGGAUGCUAUUAGAAGAGUUUUAGAUAGCAGAGUCUUGUAUCAUAGCUGGUUAGAGAGGUUGUGGAAAGAAAUGUCUCAGGCGACAAGAACUCCUAGGUCAUCACCAUAAAUGUUCUUUACAAGCUUCUAAACAUCUUAUGCUUGCACCCACAUUAGAGUUAGCUUAUUAGGUUGAGUUAACUUUUAUAUUGUAUUCAGAAUAACAUAUGUAGUUUUGUUUUUAUAAUAAGUAUAAAUGUUGUUGUUUCUCAAUAUGUUACUUCUAGAUUUUAGAAUAUCUAUCAAUGUUAAAAUUUGGGAUUCUGUGCAAACUAGGUUGCACUUGAUAUGCGGACAACUACUUUAACUAUCUUACAAACACAUGCACUUCUAUUUAAAUUAUUUUAUACAUAGUAAAGUUUAAAAUCUAAAAUGUGAAUUUUUAGUGCCAAAUGAUGUAAAUAUAUGAAUGUUGUAAGAAGAAUUUUAUUUAUAAAAUAAAAAAGCUGCUUAUUUAACAAUAUUUCUCUUUUAAAAAAAGUAUUAAAUAUUUCCAUUCAACUCCAAAUUUCAACUAAAAGUAGAUAUUGAAUAUAUUAAU